UUGGAUUUGACCGCUCAGCGGUAGGUGCAACACUCUUCUAGAUCGCUUAGCGUUGAUGCUCAAGCCCCCUACCGUAUUGAAGUAAAGUUCUCAACGCUCAAUGGUGGGUUCUGGCACUCAGUGGUGGCGACGGUUCUUCUUUCACCCCCUCAGCGCUGGCACUUAAGCGUUCUGCCGUAUUGAAGUCUGCUAUGUUGAUGCUCAGCGUUGGAAUUGGUGUUGAGCAGUGGGAGUGAUUCCUUUUUUGCGCCUUUCUUCAUUCCUUCUUGAGUCCAACUUCUUCCUAUUUCACUUUCCAUCCUUAAAUUCUCAUUAAAGCCUGUCAAAACAAUGUAAAAACAAGCAUAGUAUCUCUAAAACCAACUUUGACUCUCUUGUGACCUAACUUAAGUGUUUUGAUGAUUUUAAGCUCAUUCUAAGUCAUAAAGGGUGUG
This 434-nucleotide long non-coding RNA is filed under the name Vigna radiata. RNAcentral's name for it is "long non-coding RNA (VRAD_LNC016110)". The record is from RNAcentral. Lineage: Eukaryota; Viridiplantae; Streptophyta; Magnoliopsida; Fabales; Fabaceae.